CCUUUACCUUCUCCUCACCAUCGACGACCUCCUCCCCUCCCCCUCGCCCCAAAUCGAGCAGCAGGCCUGGAUCCAACGCAGGCUCAGAUCCGGCCCCUGCCCCUCAGUCCUCACCACGCCUCUCUCGCCUUCUUCCCUCUUGGCUCGUCGUUCCGGUGGUGGCGGCUCGUUGAUGAGCACGGCGGCGAGGUGGAGGAAAACGAGUAGCGGCAUGGAUCUGGUCACGGUGGAGUCGGAGCACAAAACCCGACGGCCCGCUCUCAACUGCGACUUUACAUGGUUCCUAGCCGCCGUCUCCUGGAGCUGCUCCGCACAUCUCUGCCCGCCCAACAGCCCCUCCAUGCCGGCUGUCCGGAGCUGCACCGCACACUGCAGCAAGAAAUUGAAGGACAUGGGUGGCAUGUGCUCCAUUAAGCAGAGCACUUUUAAGUUACUUUCUACAGGAUGAUCAUUCCCAAUAUUUAGUCUUCGCUGCUCUGUUCCAAUGAAGAACGAAUCGGUUUGCUUGGCAUCAGUGAAAAAAAAUCAUUGCUUAGCUCAAGUUUAAAUAUGUUCCUUAAUAGCUGGAGUGCCCUUCGUCAGCGAGGAGGCCCAGGGUGACACCGCUGCCGGCGCCGGUGCUCCCCAAUGUAGCCACUCCGAUGACAGCCAGGUGAUCCAUUCCCCUGCCCAGAGGUGUUCUCUUUUGUGCUAGGUUUUCGUUUUCCCAUUGAUUUUCAUUCCAAUUUUAUCGCAGGAUUGUUGCUGUGUGUCUCCAGUUCCUUGAAGUCAUGUACAUGCACAUGCCCGCGUCUGAUUUGUUCUCGUGGUCGCGUUCCUGCCGUAGCUACGUCCACGACUGUGCAGGUUUAGCCGUCCUUUCUUUAAUCCCCUUUUUUGUUUACCCUCAUUUCUCUUGUAUUGUUCCUGAGAGAGCCUAGGCCUGAUGUCCUCUUUCCAGGUGAGGCGUUUGUUGCCUUGCUUAAUUUUGUUUAUUAGAUAUUACCUGCCUAUGCUUCAUCCUAUUUUUGCAAUGAGAUCUAUUGUUUACAUAUGUGCUAAUUUCUGUGACUAAGGAGACUGUCAGUUCUGCCAAUGACGCUAAAUACUUACAGUUAGGAAAUAACAGUCCCCGUAUCGGAAGGCAUGUUUAUUUUGUCUUGAAUUGAAAGAAUUACUAAAUAAGAAGGCUAGCUUAGGUUCUAAUAAUUGUUCAAACAUACUAUAUACUCCUAACAGAAAUGUAAAACAAAGACAUGGACAAAUUAUUUCUGCUAUGUGAUGAGAAGAACUAUUUUAAUAGAUAUGGAAAUGCUUUUUUAAAUUAUAUGUCUACUCUGCCAUGCUUGCCAAUAUCCACUUCUGCUGCAAGUGCUUCUAUAAUUGCAACUUCUGGAAGUGUGUGGUUUGAAGAUAUGAGAUGUGAUUCAGUUACAUAAAUGUUUGAACGGGAACUUAUGAAUUAGAAGGGAAUAACUGCCUUGCCUUACAAAAGUUCGUGUAAGGGAAAGGAUUGCCUCAGCUAACACUAUAUUUAUAGGAAAGAUACAUGCAAAUUCAAGAGCGUAAUAAGAUAAUUAUUUUUUCCUUCCAGAACAAAGGCCUGUUUGUGCCAGGGACUAACAUAUUUCAUAGUAGACAUGAUUUAUACCUUUUAGGACCAGUACAAUUUUCAUACAAUCAUGAAUCAUGGUUUUAUCUUUUGAAGUCGAUACAUUUUAAUUUAUUGUUUUAUUCCCCUAAAUGUUUACCUAAGCACAUAGCUGCUAUUCACUGUAUCUUUUGUCAGAUGGCUUCUAUCACCCUUGCUAAUCUAUGUUGCGGAAGACAAAAUCAAAUGCUAUGUGUCCGGGUGUCUCGGCUAAGGCAUUUUCGCAGCGAUUUAGAGAGCGGUCCUAUCAAGCUCAUACACAUGUUCAUCAUCGACGUGCAGGGUAGCUAGAGUUAUGCAGUUGUACCAACAUCAUUUGCUGGUGCUUAUCUACACAUCUUACAAGAGGGGAUUAUCUAUAAGCUUGGCUACUUGAUGGUCUUGCCACUGCUAAACAUACUGAAUCCUGCUGCAGCUCCACGUAUGAGUUUAUCUCAGAAGGAAUCAAGGAAAUGAUGGCGUUAGUCUUGAUAUGGGGAAGCGUUAAGUUCACGCAUAGGACAUAUGCCACUGAUACCAGUACAACACAGUUUUUGUGUGUUGCAAGUUGAUCAAUUCCAACAUGGUACCCCAUGCCCACGAUACACUCAUCGUCACUGCUCCGAUCCGCCCGACCCCAGUGACUCAGCUACUUCCUAUCAUCACCUGGAGCAAUUUAAGAUCGAAAAGGAUGAUGGGAGGAUGCAACUGACACAGUAGCAUGCUCCGUGUCAAAUGUGUGAAGACAGCCUGCAGCCCAAUAUCAGCUCUUGGAUUUCCAAGGGACGGCGAGCGAUGGCUGUGGUGGCGGCGGAGAAGGUGGUGAAGUGUAUCGGGCUGGGGUUCGAUAUGAUGUGUGACCUGAGGCAAGUUCUGCAAAGAUUCUGCUUCUCUUUUGGAGAUCACGUGUCUUUUGGAGCAUGUUAGGCUUUGAUUUCAAUUCAAUGAUGUGCUUUAUCAUCAACCUUGUAAGACUGUCACCUAUCUGAUAAUAUGGAGCUAACCUUGCUAUGCCUGAUGAUUGAACAUUUAUCUGGUAAGCUUGUUUAACUCAAUUUAUAUUUUAACACCCAAACUACUCUAGCACGCCUAUGCACGUUCACAACGUUACCGCCAAGGCAAGUGCGCA
Molecule: non-coding RNA, 2738 nt
Organism: Aegilops tauschii subsp. strangulata
Lineage: Eukaryota; Viridiplantae; Streptophyta; Magnoliopsida; Poales; Poaceae
Source: RefSeq, a predicted model, not a curated record